AGCAGUAUGGUGUAAUGCUGCACUCAAGAAUUUCAUAAUGGUCAUGCAACAUGUAUUCCCGAGGUCCUUGUUCGAAUCAAGGUACUGCUC
This is a non-coding RNA of Mycena leptocephala, 90 nucleotides long. The record is from the annotation of a GenBank genome assembly. NCBI's taxonomy places the organism in Eukaryota, Fungi, Basidiomycota, Agaricomycetes, Agaricales, Mycenaceae.